GGCCUUUCUCGGCUGCACACUGAACCGGCUGACCCUGCUGUCGGCGGGCAAUGAUCCGAGGAUGGCCGAACUGUUCGCGCGCGCCGAACUGAAACGCGACACCUGCAACGCAAUGACGGCCACUGCUUCCGCAAANCGCGAACUGGAUCCUCUCCGGCGACGCUCCGCAAUUACGCGGCCCGCUCACACAGGAUUGAGACGAUCAAUCGGAAACAUUGCCUCUCGGGAAUUUUGAAAUGUCCUUCGAUCACAACCAUAUCUCGACCUUCGGCACCUACGCCGGGAAGAUGGUACGCUAUUCCUUCUAC
This 308-nucleotide unclassified non-coding RNA is filed under the name Hevea brasiliensis (rubber tree). The record is from RNAcentral. Lineage: Eukaryota; Viridiplantae; Streptophyta; Magnoliopsida; Malpighiales; Euphorbiaceae.